UACAGAGGUCCCCAAGCGUUGUUCGGAUUCACUGGGCGUAAAGGGUGCGUAGGCGGUCAGAUAAGUCUAAUGUGAAAUCUUCGAGCUCAACUCGGAAACUGCAUCGGAAACUAUCUGGCUAGAGGAUUGGAGGGGAGACUGGAAUUCUCGGUGUAGCAGUGAAAUGCGUAGAUAUCGAGAGGAACACCAGUGGCGAAGGCGAGUCUCUGGACAAUUCCUGACGCUGAGGCACGAAAGCUAGGGGAGCAAACAGGAUUAGAAACCCUGGUAGU
Molecule: ribosomal RNA, 272 nt
Filed under: uncultured bacterium
Lineage: Bacteria
Description: partial 16S ribosomal RNA
Rfam family: Bacterial small subunit ribosomal RNA
Source: RNAcentral